This 987-nucleotide ribosomal RNA is filed under the name uncultured bacterium. Its description in RNAcentral is "bacterial SSU rRNA". It matches the Rfam family "Bacterial small subunit ribosomal RNA", at positions 8 to 1001 of the family's 1533-position model. The record is from RNAcentral.
AGAGUUUGAUCCUGGCUCAGAAUCAACGCUGGCGGCGUGCCUAACACAUGCAAGUCGAGCGAGAAAAGGGGGGCAACUCCCUGAGUACAGCGGCGCACGGGUGAGUAACACGUGGGUAAUCUGCCCUGGAGUGGGGAAUAACACCGGGAAACCGGUGCUAAUACCGCAUACGAUAGCGAGGUCUGCGGACUUUGUUAUGAAAGGAGCAAUUCGCUCCAGGAGGAGCCCGCGGCUGAUUAGCUAGUUGGUGAGGUAACGGCUCACCAAGGCUACGAUCAGUAUCCGGUCUGAGAGGACGGUCGGACACACUGGAACUGAGACACGGUCCAGACUCCUACGGGAGGCAGCAGUGGGGAAUUUUUCGCGAUGGGGGAAACCCUGACGAAGCAACGCCGCGUGGGUGAUGAAGUCUCUUGGGACGUAAAACCCUUUCGACGGGGAAGAAACCGCAAGGUUGACGGUACCCGUAGAAGAAGCCCCGGCUAACUCCGUGCCAGCAGCCGCGGUAAUACGGGGGGGGCAAGCGUUGUUCGGAAUUACUGGGCGUAAAGGGUGCGUAGGCGGUUCGCUAAGUUGGAUGUGAAAACUCUGGGCUUAACCCAGAGCCUGCAUCCAAAACUGGCGGGCUAGAGUUCUGGAGGGGGUAGCGGAAUUCCUGGUGUAGCGGUGAAAUGCGUAGAUAUCAGGAGGAACACCGGUGGCGAAGGCGGCUACCUGGACAGAAACUGACGCUGAGGCACGAAAGCUAGGGGAGCAAACAGGGUUAGAUACCCUGGUAGUCCUAGCCCUAAACGAUGGAUACUUGGUGUGACGGGGAUUGAAUCCCGUCGUGCCGAAGCUAACGCAUUAAGUAUCCCGCCUGGGGAGUACGGUCGCAAGGCUGAACUCAAGGAAUUGACGGGGGCCCGCACAGCGGUGGGAGUAUGGUGGUUUAAUUCGACGCAACGCGAAGAACCUUACCUGGGCUCGAACGGCUAGUGACAGCGC